AUGCUCUUUUUUUAUGCUGGUCCUAUGUCAUGGGUAUGGCAAGCACCAUUUUGUUGGUUCCUGUCUUGCCAAUGUCUACAGCAAUGUGUGUGUCCUCUAUCUCAUCUGUGGCAUUACCGUAGGGCAACUCAUAAUGGGCCUAUCAAGCAUACUGACCCUGUGAUGAUAGAUAAAGAGGUUGAUUUCAGUGCCAUUCUGAUAAAUAUAUUUUUAGCCCUAUGA
Molecule: ribosomal RNA, 222 nt
Filed under: Triticum aestivum (bread wheat)
Lineage: Eukaryota; Viridiplantae; Streptophyta; Magnoliopsida; Poales; Poaceae
Description: partial small subunit ribosomal RNA
Source: RNAcentral